Non-coding RNA from Paramuricea clavata, 105 nucleotides. The record is from the annotation of a GenBank genome assembly. Lineage: Eukaryota; Metazoa; Cnidaria; Anthozoa; Malacalcyonacea; Plexauridae.
UUUUCUGUGUUGGUGUUAUGUACUAAGGUGAAUAAGAAGUUUGUGAUGUCAGAGUAACAUCACAAACAUCAUAUUCACCUGAGUACACAACACCAACACAGAAAA